GAUGAACGCUGGCGGCGUGCCUAAUACAUGCCAGUCGAGCGAACAGAUGAGGAUCUUGCUCCUCUGACGUUAGCGGCGGACGGGGGAGUAACACGUGGAUAACCUACCUAUAAGACUGGGAUAACUUCGGGAAACCGGAGCUAAUACCGGAUAAUAUAUUGAACCGCAUGGUUCAAUAGUGAAAGACGGUUUUGCUGUCACUUAUAGAUGGAUCCGCGCCGCAUUAGCUAGUUGGUAAGGUAACGGCUUACCAAGGCGACGAUGCGUAGCCGACCUGAGAGGGUGAUCGGCCACACUGGAACUGAGACACGGUCCAGACUCCUACGGGAGGCAGCAGUAGGGAAUCUUCCGCAAUGGGCGAAAGCCUGACGGAGCAACGCCGCGUGAGUGAUGAAGGUCUUCGGAUCGUAAAACUCUGUUAUUAGGGAAGAACAAAUGUGUAAGUAACUAUGCACGUCUUGACGGUACCUAAUCAGAAAGCCACGGCUAACUACGUG
RNAcentral lists this ribosomal RNA (497 nucleotides) under uncultured bacterium. RNAcentral's name for it is "partial 16S ribosomal RNA". It matches the Rfam family "Bacterial small subunit ribosomal RNA", at positions 28 to 507 of the family's 1533-position model. The record is from RNAcentral.